UAUUACAAUAACUAGAUUGCUGAUAAACACAACAAUGUGAUUCUACUUUUAUCCACAUUCAGGUAUUCAAGACGAUUCAGUAGUCUCAACGUGGAUCAGCUCGGAUCCCCGUAGUUCAGCAUGAUAUCGGGGGACACUGUCUUCGUACCUAGAACGCUGGAAGAACCCACACUGGGGCAGAGAAGAGAAAGAACAGUUUAGGUUUAAGUUGCUGCCAAAGUACUACAACUUGUAGAGGCAGUACAUUCUUCCUUUGCACAGACAUACAGUUUAAUACACGCAUGCAGGCACCGAAGGAAGUACAGGACUGACAGAGACGGACUUCAGUCCUGACAAACUACUAUGUACAAAGACAGCAAGACUUGCCUUAAUGACGUAGAAAAAGCAACUCUCUUGCUGAUAAAGAGUUGUUACAGAACCAGAAUCGUCUCUCUUAGCCUUCUCCUUGAUUUAUUGAUUAGGCAGAAGACCAAAAGAGUGAACUAGACACAGACAUUCCGCAGUGUCUUUGCAUACCUGCUCACCCCUGCACGCAGCAAGUGCCCACCCUGGCUGGCUGUGCGCACAGAUCACCCCUGGGCUGCUGGGUUUAGGCUUUGAUCCCUGCCUCUGUGGGGUUUUAUGCCGUACAACUGACUGCAAGGACUGCACUGAAGAACAACGUGCACAGCCAGCCUCAGGCCGCUUCCUCAAAAUAUGAUCGUGAAACCUCAAGGCCUAAAGAAGCUGCAGUCUGCAGUCAGACUGCAUGAUCUGAUCAGGAAGUCAGGAUUUUGGGACAAGAAAAGCCAAUUUUAAAACCAGCAACUUUUCCAAGUGUUCAUAUGCAUGAAGAGAGAAGCUGUUCAUUUGAGUAAAAGCAGUUGUUGGCAUU
This 874-nucleotide long non-coding RNA is filed under the name Columba livia (rock pigeon). RNAcentral's name for it is "partial uncharacterized LOC106145745". The record is from RNAcentral. Lineage: Eukaryota; Metazoa; Chordata; Aves; Columbiformes; Columbidae.